This 407-nucleotide ribosomal RNA is filed under the name Megophrys shapingensis (Shaping frog). Its description in RNAcentral is "Atympanophrys shapingensis (Shaping frog) partial 16S ribosomal RNA". It matches the Rfam family "Bacterial large subunit ribosomal RNA", at positions 1946 to 2519 of the family's 2925-position model. The record is from RNAcentral. Lineage: Eukaryota; Metazoa; Chordata; Amphibia; Anura; Megophryidae.
CCGCGCGAAGGUAGCGUAAUCACUUGUUUUUUAAAUAAAGACUAGUAUGAACGGCCACACGAGGACUUAACUGUCUCCUUUGUCCAAUCAGUGAAACUGAUUUCCUCGUGCAGAAGCGAGGAUAUUACCAUAAGACGAGAAGACCCUAUGGAGCUUUAAACUAAAAUCAACUAUUUUUAACUUCUCUCCAAGGAAUUAACAGAUAAUCAAAUAUGCUUGAUAUAAGUUUUAGGUUGGGGCGACCAUGGAGAAAAAGAAAUCCUCCCUGAUGACUCACAAACCAAGAGCCACGGCUCUAAGUAUUAAGAUACUUAACUUCCAUUGACCCAUUUUAUGAUCAACGAACCAAGUUACCCUAGGGAUAACAGCGCAAUCCAUUUCAAGAGUCCCUAUCGACAAAUGGGUUU